AGAGAGGAGCUGGUCAGUGGGGUGACCCUAAGGACCACAUCUUCUCCUGCUUCAUUUCACCGGCGAAGGCUUCUGAAUUGUCAAAGCUAGAAGAACAGGAGGGAAGGCAGCAAAGGGUCAUUGCCACGGGCUUUCCCAACCCAAAGACUGAUGUCAGGGACUGCCCCCCGACUGAGACUCUAUGUCCUACACUUGCCCUGCACACACACAGGGCUGCCCCUCGCAGACACUUGUCCCGCGGGACUGAAGCUGCCGCUCGGGGGCUGGAACCCAAGAAGAAAACCAGAAACCAGGGAGCUAAUUCUUCAGCCUCCUCCGCACUGCUCCUGGCCCACAAACUCCCCCCAGAUCCACAAGCUCCUGCUUCCUGUCCCCUCCCCACCAACAUCCUUCUGCCUCUUGACUUUGCGUGUGCUGUUCCCUCUGCCCGCAAUGCCCCCCCACUAUGAUCAAUGUGGAAAACUCCUUUAGGAAUCCAUAGGGCUCUGCUCAAAUGCCAGGUCCUGCACGAAGCCUCUGGUCCCAAGGAACGUCUCCUUCCCUUCUGCUCCCCCGAGACUUCCCUUAGAUCCCAAAUGUUACACUUACCAGCAUCCUUCUGGAGUUCUGGGGUCCUGAGGAACAAAGACCAUCCCCGUGUCACAACUGCAUGCCUGGCGCCCAGCCCAGAGCCUGGUAUGGAUUCAGGGCCUCAGUUUCCUCAUCUGGAACAUGGGAGUGAUCACGGCACCUACCUCAUCAUGCUGUUGUGAAGUUCAGUCGCUGUAUUCGGAGCCACGCCUGGUACAAGGGCAUAUCCAGCCCCACCCCCUUUCUGCCCAGAAGUCAGUGCCCGCCCCGUCGCAGGUCCCAGAGCCCCGAUGGGGACCUGGGGCUUGGAAGAUAAAGGGACCGGGACAUCGUCCACCUGUGUAGAAGACUGGUCAUUUGGAGACAGUUCGCCCAGCCUGGCACCAGACAGGGAGCCCCAGGAGCCCUCCUGCCACCUUGCCCUCUGCAGAGACAGCCCUCCAGCCCCUCGGGCCUGGGCCCUGAGCUCUCAACAGGGCCCAUGACUCGUCCUCCUGGCCUUCAAGCCUCCAAGGAGGCACCUCCUUUCUGCAGCUGCAGCAGGUCAAGAGCCUCAUCCGAGGAGGAAGUGAAAGCCCUGCGUGGCUCCCUCAGAACCACCCAUUCUCCUGUGGCUCAGCCCCAUGGCGAUCCCCGCCAUGAUUCAGCCACCCCUGGGCGGAAUCAUCAUCUCCUCCCUGUGCUGCUCCAGCCUGGAGUGGUAGUAGCUCAUGCCCUAGCUAGACUGCCUUCCCAUUUGCUGUAGGACUUUUCAGCUCUUUCCUCGCCUGUGGAAUCAAUCCCCCGUAUUAAAUUU
Long non-coding RNA from Herpailurus yagouaroundi (jaguarundi), 1366 nucleotides. RefSeq lists it as uncharacterized. NCBI's taxonomy places the organism in Eukaryota, Metazoa, Chordata, Mammalia, Carnivora, Felidae. The record is from RefSeq and is a predicted model, not a curated record. The transcript has 4 exons.